This 482-nucleotide ribosomal RNA is filed under the name uncultured bacterium. RNAcentral's name for it is "partial 16S ribosomal RNA". It matches the Rfam family "Bacterial small subunit ribosomal RNA", at positions 30 to 507 of the family's 1533-position model. The record is from RNAcentral.
AUUGAACGCUGGCGGCAUGCUUUACACAUGCAAGUCGAACGGUAACAGGCCGCAAGGUGCUGACGAGUGGCGAACGGGUGCGUAAUGCAUCGGAACGUGCCCAGUCGUGGGGGAUAACUACUCGAAAGAGUAGCUAAUACCGCAUACGAUCUAUGGAUGAAAGCGGGGGACCGUAAGGCCUCGCGCGAUUGGAGCGGCCGAUGUCAGAUUAGGUAGUUGGUGGGGUAAAGGCUCACCAAGCCAACGAUCUGUAGCUGGUCUGAGAGGACGACCAGCCACACUGGGACUGAGACACGGCCCAGACUCCUACGGGAGGCAGCAGUGGGGAAUUUUGGACAAUGGGCGCAAGCCUGAUCCAGCAAUGCCGCGUGCAGGAAGAAGGCCUUCGGGUUGUAAACUGCUUUUGUACGGAACGAAACGGCUCUGGUUAAUACCCGGGGCUAAUGACGGUACCGUAAGAAUAAGCACCGGCUAACUACGUG